Molecule: ribosomal RNA, 253 nt
Filed under: uncultured bacterium
Lineage: Bacteria
Description: partial 16S ribosomal RNA
Rfam family: Bacterial small subunit ribosomal RNA
Source: RNAcentral
UACGUAGGGUGCAAGCGUUGUCCGGAAUUAUUGGGCGUAAAGAGCUCGUAGGCGGUCUGUCGCGUCGGCUGUGAAAUCCCGGAGCUCAACUCCGGGUCUGCAGUCGAUACGGGCAAACUGGAGUACUGCAGGGGAGACUGGAAUUCCUGGUGUAGCGGUGAAAUGCGCAGAUAUCUGGAGGAACACCGGUGGCGAAGGCGGCAUCCUGGACCGGCAUUGACGCUGAGGCGCGAAAGCCAGGGGAGCAAACGGG